Molecule: long non-coding RNA, 2147 nt
Organism: Tetranychus urticae (two-spotted spider mite)
Lineage: Eukaryota; Metazoa; Arthropoda; Arachnida; Trombidiformes; Tetranychidae
Source: RefSeq, a predicted model, not a curated record
UUUAUUAAUUAAAUGACAUUAUCAUUGUUAAAUUGAUAUUAAAGUUUAGCAAUAUAAGUUGUUUUACGUAGAUUUAUUAUUUACUUUCAUAACAACUUCAAUAGAAACGAUGAUAAUGUCAUUUAAAUGAAAGUAAAUUGAUAAUAACCAAGCUAAACCUAGUAACAAAUGGCAAUCAAUUGGAGAAUGUAAUAUGUUCCUAUCAUAACUUAUUGCCAUCAUGAUGAUUAUUGCUGAAAAUUGGAUCUCUCCUUGAUUUUUGUUUUCAAAUCAAAUAGAUUUAUUAAGAUUGGGAUGGCAAUUUAGCUGAACAAUAUUUCAAGAGCAAAAGAGGAAUGGAUAAAGAAUCAAGUCAAGGAUCGUAAUUUUGGCCACAACUCUGAAUAUGCUGUGCAAUAAGACGAUGCCUUGUUGGAUGCCAUUUCAAGCCGUCUUUCAUUAUCAUUAUCCUGGAGAUCCAUUCGCAAUCAGAUUUUUAUCACCAAAUUGUCAAUUAAGUUGACUGAUCAAUGACACAAAGACAGGGGAAAACAGUAAACAGAGAUUAAAAAAAGUAUGAUCUCAAUCAUCACUGCUUUACGCUACAUUGAGCUGCGUAAAAUUUUGAUUGCAACCAUUUCUCUGGUUAACCUUGCAAACCAAUCUUCCCCCCUGAUUAAUUGAUCCUGUUAAGACCUAAUUUUUUCUAAUUUUGUCAAUGUUCUGUUGUUGUCAUCAUCAUCAUCACCAACACCGCCACCAACAAAUGCCAAUUGACUUGAAUCAACUGAUUAACUAUAUUUUUCAUUCAAUUUCACUUUAUAUUAUCAAGGUUAAUCAAUGUUAUUCCUAGUUAUGCUUUUUCACUUCACUUUUCUGUUUCAUCAUACAAAACAUGAUUACUUUGCCUCCAUUAAUCAAAGCCAAACAUAUUGAAAGACCUUUUAAAGCGAUAAUAAUCAAAGAUGCUCAAUCCCUAUCAAGCUGACACUGGAAAGGUAAUCUUUUAUCCUGAAAUUUCCAGUCCAAUAUUGAAACAACAGUCAACAUCGGUAAAAUUGGCCUUUAAUCCAGCAAUCCAUUGACACUCUCAUCAUGAACCUUUGAGUAGCCAUUUAUGCUUAUCUUAACAAUCCUAGAUCAAGAUUGUUACCAGAUUGGAUUUUGACCGUUUAUUUUAAACGCAAUGUGCUGAUGAUGGAUUGAUAAUGAUUAACAAAAAGUCACAUGUAAUGUGAAUGUAAGUGUUGAUUAGAAACUCCUUCAAUUGUAGACAAUUUAUAUUCACAAUCAAUGACAAGGACAAAAGGGAAAAGACGUAACAAGACCAACAAUCAAAGACUGUACAAAAAAAGCAAGAUUAAAUUGAAUGGAGUAAAAUCAUAAAGUGAAAUGAAACAAAUUAAAAGCGUAAUCAAGCAAAGAAAAUUAAAUUAAUAUCGGAAGCAAUUUAAUCAUCAUUAAUCAUUAUUAAUAAUUCAUACAUAAAAAUUGCCAAUAACCAGAGAGUUUUGUAAACAUUACAUAUUGAUAUGCACAGAAUGGCAAACUUAUGGCAAGAAACAAAUUAAUUGCUUACAAAAUUGCUUCAAACCCAUUGUAAACUUGUUACAAAUUUAUUACUGUCUCAUAAUGUAAUCAUCGGCUCUUUUGCCUUUAAUGGUUAUCCUUCAUAAUUGCAAUUAUAAACCAUCAUUAUUAAUAUAAAAAGAAGACAGAUUUACAGUGAAAGAAUUACGAUUUAAUUGAUUUACCUUGAUUGAAAUGAAUGAAAGGCCUUUAAGGUUCGUGUGUGACUUCAACUUAAAGUUAUUACAAUCAUAUUUACAUUUAUAUUACAAAUGGUUUUGUUAUUUAUUUAUUAUUGAUUAAAUCAGAAUUUUAAUGAAAAAUAAUUGUUGCUUAAAUUCAAUCAUUUAAAUCAUUGAAAUUAUUGAGAUGAAACAGAGAAACAUAAUUAACAUGGGAAAUGAAAUGAAGAGAAAAAAUUUUACCUCAUUUUCAUUUCUAAUAAUUGUUAGACAUUUUAUAAUAUGUAUUUACAGCUGCGUAAUUAACAUUUGCCAACAAUUAAUCUUAAUCAACCGUAAUACCAAUCAAGUUUGAAAAUUUCUUCAACUUGAGUCCAUUUAUUGUAAAGGUUAAUUCAUUGAACACUUGUAUCAGUU